This is a long non-coding RNA of Malaya genurostris, 564 nucleotides long. RefSeq lists it as uncharacterized. The transcript is spliced from 2 exons. The record is from RefSeq and is a predicted model, not a curated record. Lineage: Eukaryota; Metazoa; Arthropoda; Insecta; Diptera; Culicidae.
CUUAUCACACGACUAAUACCUCGAAACAACCAGAUAAAGGAACUGAAUUUUUACCACGUCAUAUAUUUUGCCUUCACGCGCGUACCGUCUUCGCCAUGGCCUAGUAUAUUCUACAACGAGGAACGAGGGAUUGCCCAUCUUGCCCUACCGGACCCUACGCAGGCGUGACGUAAAUCGAUCGCCUGACCUGGCAAGAUUUAAUCAACUUGAAUAUUACUAACGGCUCUCAAAUGGACAAACCUGGUAGAAAUCGACCUUCAACUUGCAUCAAAAGCUGCAUCGGAUUUCAUCACAAACAAGAGCAUUUAUAAUCCACAGAAUCAAAACCUGUACUGAAGGUCAACAGCCUGCCAGGCAUUUUUCAACAAAACCACUUCUAUACAAUGCAAAUGGGACAGGUGGGAUGAACAGAUAAGGUGGAAAGAGAAACUAGUUUCAAAAGCUAGUACGCACAAAAAAACACUAAAAUCACAAUUGCACCAUACAAACAACCUUUACUGCAGGUGCAUGUUUUCGAACUAUGAUUGUUUUGAAUCCCUUAGAAAUACAAACAUUAAACAUAAA